This 497-nucleotide ribosomal RNA is filed under the name Serica sculptilis. RNAcentral describes it as "partial 16S large subunit ribosomal RNA". It matches the Rfam family "Bacterial large subunit ribosomal RNA", at positions 1846 to 2600 of the family's 2925-position model. Lineage: Eukaryota; Metazoa; Arthropoda; Insecta; Coleoptera; Scarabaeidae. The record is from RNAcentral.
UUAAAGUCUCAAUCUGCCCUAUGNGGAAUUAAAUGGCCGCGGUAUUUUGACCGUGCAAAGGUAGCAUAAUAAUUAGUUUUUUAAUUGGAAGCUGGAAUGAAUGAUUGGACGAGAAAAUAGCUGUCUCAAUUUAAUUUAAUUAGAAUUUUAUUUUUAAGUAAAAAAGCUUAAAUAGUAUUAAAAGACGAGAAGACCCUAUAGAGUUUUAUAGUUAAUUAAUUAUUAAUUUUUUAGAAUUAUUUUAUUAAUAUUUGGUUAAUUAUUUUGUUGGGGCGAUAGAAAAAUAUGAAUAACUUUUUUUAAUAAAAUUAUCAUUGAUUUAUGAUUUUUUGAUCCAUUAUUUAUGAUUAUAAGAUUAAGUUACCUUAGGGAUAACAGCGUUAUUUUUUUUUAGAGUUCUUAUCGAAAAAAAAGAUUGCGACCUCGAUGUUGGAUUAAAAUUAAAACUUGGUGUAGAAGCUUAGUUAUUGGGUCUGUUCGACCCUUAAAAUUUUACA